RNAcentral lists this transfer RNA (73 nucleotides) under Salmo salar (Atlantic salmon). It matches the Rfam family "tRNA". From Rfam's summary of the family: Transfer RNA (tRNA) molecules are approximately 80 nucleotides in length. Lineage: Eukaryota; Metazoa; Chordata; Actinopteri; Salmoniformes; Salmonidae. The record is from Rfam by way of RNAcentral.
UCCUGUGUGGCUCAGUUGGUAGAGCAUUUUGUUUGCAACACCAGGGUUGUGGGUUCAAUUCCCACUGGGGGCC